GCCUGGGUAGCUCAGUCGGUUAAGUGUCUGACUUCAGCUCAGGUCAUGAUCUCACGGUUUGGGGGUUCGAGCCCCACAUCAGGCU
This 85-nucleotide transfer RNA is filed under the name Felis catus (domestic cat). It matches the Rfam family "tRNA". Rfam says of the family: Transfer RNA (tRNA) molecules are approximately 80 nucleotides in length. Their secondary structure includes four short double-helical elements and three loops (D, anti-codon, and T loops). The record is from Rfam by way of RNAcentral. Lineage: Eukaryota; Metazoa; Chordata; Mammalia; Carnivora; Felidae.